CGUCGUCACUAUAUGACAAAGGAACAAAAAAAACAGUCUGAAAUGAUGUCGAUAAAUACAUAUUUUAAUGUAGUAAAAGAUACAAAACCAGUCUACAGUUGCAGCAUGUUUCAGGCCUCUUUGGGUGUGCAACAGCAGCAGGAUCAGCGAGGGAAGUCUGCGCUGACAAGCAUCUCUACAGUUGAACCGACCGUCGUCUCAUUUGCCUAAACAAAUGUGAAGAUGGCAGACUGGAGUCCCAGGGCCAGAGGGGUCAACAGUCAGGAAUGAGGAAAUCCCACCCUGGCCCCGACAGAUAGAGGACAGGAAGCGGUGUCAUUUGCAUACACAUUCUCCCUCAGCCACAUGACAUGCAGCUGCGCACCACUGAUAGGACUCGGCCAGGUAACCGCUGAAAGGCCGAUGUCAACCACAGACCUGAAAUGGACUGACAGCACAGAUAAGAGAAGAAACACAAUGGUGGAUACAACUCAUUCACUUAUACAAUGAUAUAUUCUCAGCACAGAGGUGAAAAGCGCGAGAGCCGGUGGAUUUAUGACCCGGCGACCCUGCGGAGUGAUCACCACAGGUGACGACAUAUUUCUCUGUGAUCUCCCUCACCACCGACUACUUUACGGCUUGCGUAGUAAAGUCCUAAAAACACAGGAGCACCAGUGUUGAUUCAGGCAUGAGAGGAAGUGGAGCUAAUUACAGAGGGUGAUUUUGCAGUCUGCCUGAAGAGCGGCUUAAAUUGAGCGUGGAGAUUCCUGAUAAGAGAACUGCUUCACCCAACUGCAUUUCCAGAUGAAUCAACCACAAAGAAUGAGUCGCUUUGGAGAGGCUCAUUCUCAUUUUUAUCCAUGUUCCACCACGACAGAACCAGUGUGUGGAGGGUGUAAUGUGGUUACAGGUCCAGCAUCAUUUAAUAGAACUGCUGUAUGGCUCAACUCGGCUGAUGAUAUUCAGACCGUGACAUCAUGUCGUCCAGACUCUUCUAUCGAUGACAUCUCUCCACUACUCAUGUGAAACACCCAACUCUUGAUCUUAGGUCCAACUCUCAACUGUGGUCAGAGCUUAAGGUAGCAACCAAACAAGAUGCAUGGUACUAGUGUACCAAAUGAGUUUUCUCCACAGAGCGGAUGGACUUUCCCUUAUAGGCAGGGUGAGAACCACUGAGGUGGCUCAGGCAUCCUGUCAGGACGUCCUGAGAUCAGGUGUUCAAGGCGUGUCUAACUAGGAGGAGGCCACGUGGCAGACCCAGCACACACCCAGUUGACCUGCGUCUCAAUUCUCAGGCUGCCACCCCGACCAGCCGUGAAGAACAGAUGGGAAUAUAUUCCACUUGUACUGACAAGAUUGCAUAGAAAGGUAUUCCGCCACUAAAUGCUUAGUUCAUCUUUACAACCGAGUCAUAACACCAUUCCAUUUUAAGACAUAAAUUUACAUUUUGCUCUUUACAAAUAUUCAUUGCUAACUAUUGAUAUGAAACGUCCGCAUCAGUCCAAACACGACAGUGUUUACAUGCUGGUCAGCAGAGGAAUGUAAACCGACAACUGUCCUCGCCUGCUCAUCGACUCUCGCAGAUAAUAAUCUGCACAUUCUUUUGGAAUGUUUUGUAUUUUCCCCAAGGAACGUAAUAUAAGUGUUUUUAGGACAAUACUUACUGGUGUAUUCUGCAUGCAAUGACACAAGAAGAGCAACUCAUGUGCCACAGAUACAUGAAAAAAGUUUAGAAAAUGCAUGACCAAUGAAACUAGAGACGGCACGUAACUCCUCACACCACCUUUGACACGACUUGACUACGAACAAAACAAUUCAAGGAUUGUGUUGACGCACAGAAAAGCCUCCAGCCUGGAUUCACUUCUCCAAUCUGAAAAUUUCCAGAAAAUUCCUUCACAGCUUUCCUAGCUAUGAUGUCGACAAACAAACCCAAAAUAUGACUCGGCGGUAACAAAGGAGGGAGUUCAACUAGCACCUGGGGACAUCACAGAAAACCCUAGCAGAAACAGUGUGCCAGAAAAAAAGACGUCCACAAUAAACCACAGACAGACACACUCAGUCGUCGUGAUUGAACAAAGGAUGUUCAAAUGAGACUUUGCAUAACUAAACUCACCAUAGCAGAGUGUUCUUGAUCUGCAGCCAACAGCUCACAUUGAGCAGAGCAGCAGGAGAAGACAUCUAAAUGUCAACCAGGUCAAUUCAGCUGUGACUUUCGCACAACCAUGAGGUCCACAUCAUUCAUGAAAAACCAAACUUUAGACCCAAUGGAGGACAUUGUUUUGUCUGAUUCAUCGGGGUGAACAAAGCAGAUGUUUACAUGCUGCAGGACAGUAGCGUGCGUGCAAGCGUGCUCAUUGUUGAAGGUUUCCUUUAUAGAACAGGACCCUUGGCACUGGUCGGCCUGAUGCAGUCUGUCUCCUCAGCAUUCCAGGGCAGCAGCGCCUUCAGUUCCCCUGCGUAAGACAAGAGCGCCAAUUCCACACCCUGUCUCCCAGCCACACCCCUCCAGAGUGCCUCAAGGACAACAUAUA
Long non-coding RNA from Synchiropus splendidus (mandarinfish), 2510 nucleotides. RefSeq lists it as uncharacterized. Lineage: Eukaryota; Metazoa; Chordata; Actinopteri; Syngnathiformes; Callionymidae. The transcript is spliced from 3 exons. The record is from RefSeq and is a predicted model, not a curated record.